CCUACGGGGGGCUGCAGUCGAGAAUCAUUCACAAUGGGGGAAACCCUGAUGGUGCGACGCCGCGUGGGGGAAUGAAGGUCUUCGGAUUGUAAACCCCUGUCAUGUGGGAGCAAAUUAAAAAGAUCGUACCACACGAGGAAGAGACGGCUAACUCUGUGCCAGCAGCCGCGGUAAUACAGAGGUCUCAAGCGUUGUUCGGAAUCACUGGGCGUAAAGCGUGCGUAGGCUGUUUCGUAAGUCGUGUGUGAAAGGCGCGGGCUCAACCCGCGGACGGCACAUGAUACUGCGAGACUAGAGUAAUGGAGGGGGAACCGGAAUUCUCGGUGUAGCAGUGAAAUGCGUAGAUAUCGAGAGGAACACUCGUGGCGAAGGCGGGUUCCUGGACAUUAACUGACGCUGAGGCACGAAGGCCAGGGGAGCGAAAGGGAUUAGAUACCCGAGUAGUC
This 446-nucleotide ribosomal RNA is filed under the name uncultured bacterium. Its description in RNAcentral is "partial 16S ribosomal RNA". It matches the Rfam family "Bacterial small subunit ribosomal RNA", at positions 338 to 795 of the family's 1533-position model. The record is from RNAcentral.